Small nuclear RNA from Peromyscus californicus insignis, 103 nucleotides. NCBI's taxonomy places the organism in Eukaryota, Metazoa, Chordata, Mammalia, Rodentia, Cricetidae. The record is from RefSeq and is a predicted model, not a curated record.
UCACUUCAGCAGCACAUCUACUAGAAUUGGAACGAUACAGAUAAGAUUAGCAUGGCCCCUGUGCAAGGAUGACACAGAAAUUUGUGAAGCAUUCAAUAUUUUU